RNAcentral lists this ribosomal RNA (2452 nucleotides) under Staphylococcus aureus M0078. RNAcentral's name for it is "bacterial LSU rRNA". It matches the Rfam family "Bacterial large subunit ribosomal RNA", at positions 3 to 2453 of the family's 2925-position model. The record is from RNAcentral. Lineage: Bacteria; Bacillati; Bacillota; Bacilli; Caryophanales; Staphylococcaceae.
UUAAGUUAUUAAGGGCGCACGGUGGAUGCCUUGGCACUAGAAGCCGAUGAAGGACGUUACUAACGACGAUAUGCUUUGGGGAGCUGUAAGUAAGCUUUGAUCCAGAGAUUUCCGAAUGGGGAAACCCAGCAUGAGUUAUGUCAUGUUAUCGAUAUGUGAAUACAUAGCAUAUCAGAAGGCACACCCGGAGAACUGAAACAUCUUAGUACCCGGAGGAAGAGAAAGAAAAUUCGAUUCCCUUAGUAGCGGCGAGCGAAACGGGAAGAGCCCAAACCAACAAGCUUGCUUGUUGGGGUUGUAGGACACUCUAUACGGAGUUACAAAGGACGACAUUAGACGAAUCAUCUGGAAAGAUGAAUCAAAGAAGGUAAUAAUCCUGUAGUCGAAAAUGUUGUCUCUCUUGAGUGGAUCCUGAGUACGACGGAGCACGUGAAAUUCCGUCGGAAUCUGGGAGGACCAUCUCCUAAGGCUAAAUACUCUCUAGUGACCGAUAGUGAACCAGUACCGUGAGGGAAAGGUGAAAAGCACCCCGGAAGGGGAGUGAAAUAGAACCUGAAACCGUGUGCUUACAAGUAGUCAGAGCCCGUUAAUGGGUGAUGGCGUGCCUUUUGUAGAAUGAACCGGCGAGUUACGAUUUGAUGCAAGGUUAAGCAGUAAAUGUGGAGCCGUAGCGAAAGCGAGUCUGAAUAGGGCGUUUAGUAUUUGGUCGUAGACCCGAAACCAGGUGAUCUACCCUUGGUCAGGUUGAAGUUCAGGUAACACUGAAUGGAGGACCGAACCGACUUACGUUGAAAAGUGAGCGGAUGAACUGAGGGUAGCGGAGAAAUUCCAAUCGAACCUGGAGAUAGCUGGUUCUCUCCGAAAUAGCUUUAGGGCUAGCCUCAAGUGAUGAUUAUUGGAGGUAGAGCACUGUUUGGACGAGGGGCCCCUCUCGGGUUACCGAAUUCAGACAAACUCCGAAUGCCAAUUAAUUUAACUUGGGAGUCAGAACAUGGGUGAUAAGGUCCGUGUUCGAAAGGGAAACAGCCCAGACCACCAGCUAAGGUCCCAAAAUAUAUGUUAAGUGGAAAAGGAUGUGGCGUUGCCCAGACAACUAGGAUGUUGGCUUAGAAGCAGCCAUCAUUUAAAGAGUGCGUAAUAGCUCACUAGUCGAGUGACACUGCGCCGAAAAUGUACCGGGGCUAAACAUAUUACCGAAGCUGUGGAUUGUCCUUUGGACAAUGGUAGGAGAGCGUUCUAAGGGCGUUGAAGCAUGAUCGUAAGGACAUGUGGAGCGCUUAGAAGUGAGAAUGCCGGUGUGAGUAGCGAAAGACGGGUGAGAAUCCCGUCCACCGAUUGACUAAGGUUUCCAGAGGAAGGCUCGUCCGCUCUGGGUUAGUCGGGUCCUAAGCUGAGGCCGACAGGCGUAGGCGAUGGAUAACAGGUUGAUAUUCCUGUACCACCUAUAAUCGUUUUAAUCGAUGGGGGGACGCAGUAGGAUAGGCGAAGCGUGCGAUUGGAUUGCACGUCUAAGCAGUAAGGCUGAGUAUUAGGCAAAUCCGGUACUCGUUAAGGCUGAGCUGUGAUGGGGAGAAGACAUUGAGUCUUCGAGUCGUUGAUUUCACACUGCCGAGAAAAGCCUCUAGAUAGAAAAUAGGUGCCCGUACCGCAAACCGACACAGGUAGUCAAGAUGAGAAUUCUAAGGUGAGCGAGCGAACUCUCGUUAAGGAACUCGGCAAAAUGACCCCGUAACUUCGGGAGAAGGGGUGCUCUUUAGGGUUAACGCCCAGAAGAGCCGCAGUGAAUAGGCCCAAGCGACUGUUUAUCAAAAACACAGGUCUCUGCUAAACCGUAAGGUGAUGUAUAGGGGCUGACGCCUGCCCGGUGCUGGAAGGUUAAGAGGAGUGGUUAGCUUCUGCGAAGCUACGAAUCGAAGCCCCAGUAAACGGCGGCCGUAACUAUAACGGUCCUAAGGUAGCGAAAUUCCUUGUCGGGUAAGUUCCGACCCGCACGAAAGGCGUAACGAUUUGGGCACUGUCUCAACGAGAGACUCGGUGAAAUCAUAGUACCUGUGAAGAUGCAGGUUACCCGCGACAGGACGGAAAGACCCCGUGGAGCUUUACUGUAGCCUGAUAUUGAAAUUCGGCACAGCUUGUACAGGAUAGGUAGGAGCCUUUGAAACGUGAGCGCUAGCUUACGUGGAGGCGCUGGUGGGAUACUACCCUAGCUGUGUUGGCUUUCUAACCCGCACCACUUAUCGUGGUGGGAGACAGUGUCAAGCGGGCAGUUUGACUGGGGCGGUCGCCUCCUAAAAGGUAACGGAGGCGCUCAAAGGUUCCCUCAGAAUGGUUGGAAAUCAUUCAUAGAGUGUAAAGGCAUAAGGGAGCUUGACUGCGAGACCUACAAGUCGAGCAGGGUCGAAAGACGGACUUAGUGAUCCGGUGGUUCCGCAUGGAAGGGCCAUCGCUCAAC